RNAcentral lists this ribosomal RNA (787 nucleotides) under Teratosphaeriaceae sp. RNAcentral's name for it is "partial large subunit ribosomal RNA". It matches the Rfam family "Eukaryotic large subunit ribosomal RNA", at positions 111 to 934 of the family's 3401-position model. Lineage: Eukaryota; Fungi; Ascomycota; Dothideomycetes; Mycosphaerellales; Teratosphaeriaceae. The record is from RNAcentral.
AAAUUUGAAAUCUGGCUUCCGCCCGAGUUGUAAUUUGCAGAGGAUGCUUCGGGGCAGCGGCCGGUCUAAGUUCCUUGGAACAGGACGUCACAGAGGGUGAGAAUCCCGUAUGUGACCGGUUGGCACCCCAUACGUAGCUCCUUCGACGAGUCGAGUUGUUUGGGAAUGCAGCUCUAAAUGGGAGGUAAAUUUCUUCUAAAGCUAAAUACCGGCCAGAGACCGAUAGCGCACAAGUAGAGUGAUCGAAAGAUGAAAAGCACUUUGGAAAGAGAGUUAAACAGCACGUGAAAUUGUUGAAAGGGAAGCGCAUGCAACCAGACUUGUCGGCGGUGUUCCGCCGGUCUUCUGACCGGUCCACUCGCCGCCGGCAGGCCAGCAUCGUCUGGGCGCGUCGGAGAAAGGCGUGGGGAAUGUGGCCCUCGGGUGUUAUAGCCUCACGCACAAUACGACGCCGCUCGGGCGAGGUCCGCGCUUCGGCUAGGAUGCUGGCGUAAUGGUCGUCUGCGGCCCGUCUUGAAACACGGACCAAGGAGUCUAACAUCUAUGCGAGUGUUCGGGUGUCAAACCCCUACGCGGAAUGAAAGUGAACGGAGGUGGGAGCUUUUGCGCACCAUCGACCGAUCCUGAUGUCUUCGGAUGGAUUUGAGUAAGAGCAUAGCUGUUGGGACCCGAAAGUUGGUGAACUAUGCCUGAAUAGGGUGAAGCCAGAGGAAACUCUGGUGGAGGCUCGCAGCGGUUCUGACGUGCAAAUCGAUCGUCAAAUUUGGGUAUAGGGGCGAAAGACUAA